UGUGGACAUCGUGAUGUGCCU
This 21-nucleotide unclassified non-coding RNA is filed under the name Chlamydomonas reinhardtii. RNAcentral's name for it is "small RNA Cre_3602". Lineage: Eukaryota; Viridiplantae; Chlorophyta; Chlorophyceae; Chlamydomonadales; Chlamydomonadaceae. The record is from RNAcentral.